Molecule: transfer RNA, 97 nt
Filed under: subsurface metagenome
Description: tRNA-Sec
Rfam family: Selenocysteine transfer RNA
Source: RNAcentral
GGGGGCGGAUGAGUCCCGGUGGGCUUUGCGGACUUCAAAUCCGUUGGGGGGCACUAGUAGUGUCUUCGGUGGGUUCGACUCCCAUACGCUCCCGCCA